GGUAAAUCAGUAUUUGCCAGGAGAAUUAGUAUCUUCAGGGCAGUUAGAAGACCAGUGAGUGGGGUCUGUCGGUCGGUGUCUCUGUCUCUGUUGCUGUCUGUCCAUCUAUCCAUCUGCGUACCCGCCCCCCCCCCCCCCCCGCUCCCAGCUCACUAGCGUGCUGAGAGUAUGUGGUGGGGUAGCCCCUGUGUCAGCACUGCAUUGCCAAGCUUAUCCUACCUUUCAGAAACACUUGCUGAGGAAUUGUUACUGCUUAAAUCCACUGUUGUUAAAGUUAGCAUUGGUGGGCAUCAUUUAUUGGGCAUUUUCCUCUGUGCUCUCAUUGGUCCUCCACCCUCAGCUCCCUACUUCCCUUCAGCUACUUCCCUCCCUCCACCAAUACCCCUGUUCUACUGUCCUUGUCCAUUCUCGUCUUCCCACCCUAAGAGCUCCUCAGUUUCCCAGUCUGUUUCUGAUUUGUUCUCUUUGUCCUGGUUUUAGGUUUGAUGACAAAUACACCCUGAAGUUGACCUUCAUCAGUGGAAGGACAAAGCAGCAGCGGGAAGCCGAGUUCACCAAGUCCAUUGCUAAGUUCUUUGACCACAGCGGGACAUUGGUCAUGGAUGCAUACGAACCUGAAAUAUCCAGGCUCCAUGACAGUCUCGCCACAGAAAGAAAAAUAAAAUAGCCAAUUCUAAA
RNAcentral lists this long non-coding RNA (678 nucleotides) under Rattus norvegicus (Norway rat). Its description in RNAcentral is "long non-coding RNA NONRATT002969". The record is from RNAcentral. Lineage: Eukaryota; Metazoa; Chordata; Mammalia; Rodentia; Muridae.